RNAcentral lists this ribosomal RNA (639 nucleotides) under Sporosarcina luteola. Its description in RNAcentral is "bacterial SSU rRNA". It matches the Rfam family "Bacterial small subunit ribosomal RNA", at positions 133 to 758 of the family's 1533-position model. The record is from RNAcentral. Lineage: Bacteria; Bacillati; Bacillota; Bacilli; Caryophanales; Caryophanaceae.
GUGGGGCGAAGAUUGGGGAGAAGGGGAUAAUGGCAACCGUAGAGUUCUUCCGCAUGGAAGAACUCUGAAAGACGGUUUCGGCUGUCACUGCAGGAUGGGCCCGCGGCGCAUUAGCUAGUUGGUGGGGUAAUGGCCUACCAAGGCGACGAUGCGUAGCCGACCUGAGAGGGUGAUCGGCCACACUGGGACUGAGACACGGCCCAGACUCCUACGGGAGGCAGCAGUAGGGAAUCUUCCACAAUGGACGAAAGUCUGAUGGAGCAACGCCGCGUGAGCGAAGAAGGUUUUCGGAUCGUAAAGCUCUGUUGCGAGGGAAGAACAAGUACGGGAUGUAACUGCCCUGUACCAUGACGGUACCUCGUCAGAAAGCCACGGCUAACUACGUGCCAGCAGCCGCGGUAAUACGUAUGUGGCAAGCGUUGUCCGGAAUUAUUGGGCGUAAAGCGCGCGCAGGCGGUCCUUUAAGUCUGAUGUGAAAGCCCACGGCUCAACCGUGGAGGGUCAUUGGAAACUGGAGGACUUGAGUACAGAAGAGGAAAGCGGAAUUCCACGUGUAGCGGUGAAAUGCGUAGAGAUGUGGAGGAACACCAGUGGCGAGGGCGGCUUUCUGGUUCUGUAACUGAACGCUGAGGCGCGAAA